Molecule: long non-coding RNA, 1920 nt
Organism: Lutra lutra (Eurasian river otter)
Lineage: Eukaryota; Metazoa; Chordata; Mammalia; Carnivora; Mustelidae
Exons: 4
Source: RefSeq, a predicted model, not a curated record
CUGGGGCACGCCUUCUCCUGAGCGCUGUGCUUUUGAGUUUGGAGCAGGUGACUAGGCCCGAGUCUCCCCGGCGGGGUGGCGAGACUCCCCGAGGACAGCGGUAGGCGCGGGGAUGGGGGAAUGCCCCAAGGUCUGCGCACCGUCCUCCCAGCUCUGAAUACCCCAGGUCGGCCCUUCUCCCCGCUCACAGGCAUCAGUAGGGAAGGCUGUGGGGAGGCAGGGUUUGGCGCGCUCUGAGGAUGCAGUCAUCAAGACAGAGCUGCCCAGCAAUCGAGCAACUUCCGUUUGCACAGUGCUUUGGACAGCUUUCAGCUGGGUGAAAUCUUCGCGCGAACCUCGGAGGCUGAGACAGGUUAUGGUUCUCGCCGUAAUGAAGAAAAUGAGACCCAGAGAAGAGAAGGAUUUCUUCAAGGUCACAUGGUGAAUAUGUCACAGCCAGACUAGAACUCAGGGCCCUUCACGAAUGGCUUGCUGGCCUUCCUGUUACACAUGGACCCCGAAGCCCUGCAGCUCGCAUACUUUCAAGGUAUGCAGACUUUUCAGCUCUGAGGAGUGGGAGCCACUGUUCUGAGAAAAACUUGUGGAAGGAAAGGAAGGUUUAAAACUGCCAGCUUCUGGGUCGGCUUCCCCUGGGUUGGGCCAGAGGGAGUGCAGCAACUGCUGAUGGCCCUUUCGCCUGCAUAGAAAGAGCACUUCUGUGCAGAGGGAAACCAUAUACAGAUAGAGCCUGAAUGACAACAAUGCUUCAGCCUCUGGAUCCAGCUAUACCUGAAGCAGAUACUCCUGACUUCCCAGUUAGGUGAGCCAGUACAUCUCCUUUUUGGUUGAGCUGGUUUGAAAUAGCGUUCUUCUCCUUGCAUCUGAAGGACAAAUGACCAGUACAACUUCCUUGACAUCCCUGGGGCUUCCCACCAUGUGCCUCCUUGGAGUUAGUAACUCAUAAUUCUGUGCUACACUAUCGCCACUGGCAAUAGUCCUCCUCAGUAGGACCUCCCUCCUCCUUUAUCAGCCCACAGCUCUGAGACCAGGUAUUACUAAAAUGAGUGAAGGGCCAUUGAGCGAAUCGGGGGAGGGAUGAGUGCAUGGAGACCCUUUCUGCAGCUCCUGAAGUUUCUACUCAAGGACAAGCUGGAUCUGAACUUACCUUGCAAGCAGACUUUAAGAAAACAAACAGACCUAGCCCCACCAGCCAACAUUCCUACUUCAGGAAUGAGGCUGGGCUGGGGCAGUGCCUUGAUGAUCCAGUUCAGACCUGCCAGUGGCUGAGAGAAGACAGAACUGUUUCCGGAGGAGUAAGAGAGCCUGAAGCCAUAGCACUGGCACCUGUCGGGGACAGAGCUGACAGCAGAGUGCUUUCUGGCCCCUUGGAGGGCAGCCAGGAGCUGGCCAGGAGGUCAGGGUCAUGUCCCCUUGUGGUAUCGAGGCCAGGAUCCAGACAGGAGUUGGACAGAAAACUGACUUCCUGCCAGGAAUCUUGCCAUGCACAGCUUCAGCUCCUGGGGAAGAGUUCAGAUUUAUUUCAGGUGAUGCAACCCUGGGACACAGGCACUGUUUUUAGAGUGGCUACGAGAAUAAAAGUUAUGAUGGAUUUUUUUAAAAAAUGGAAUCAAGUGAUCAGCAUGUUUCCAGGUCUGCAACUUGUCAAAACCUUGGUGGACAGUUGAAGAAAUGUUUUCCUAUAAUAAAUUAGAAGGCGUUUUAUUUUCCUUUGGCUAAUCUUUCAUCGUAAUUUCAAUUGUGGUGUGGUGGGGCAGGAUUCUUUUUAACUAAUUCUGCCCUGAAACAUAACAUCUGCUGGUCUCAAAUUGCCAGAAAGAACCGUUGAUAAGUCUGAAAUCGGUGGAGAGUAAAUAUUAAUUCUACAAUUUGUCCAUAUUUUAUUUUCAUCUGUGGACAGCACCAUCUCCUCCUUGCACCGGU